RNAcentral lists this ribosomal RNA (208 nucleotides) under uncultured bacterium. Its description in RNAcentral is "partial 16S ribosomal RNA". It matches the Rfam family "Bacterial small subunit ribosomal RNA", at positions 128 to 334 of the family's 1533-position model. The record is from RNAcentral.
CGCCUGAAGCGGGGGACAACAGCUUGAAAGAGCUGCUAAUACCGCAUGUGUCUGCUGAGUGGCAUCACUUGGCAAACAAAGCCUUCGGGCACUUCAGGAUGGGCCUGCGGCCUAUCAGCUAGUUGGUGUGGUAACGGCUCACCAAGGCUUCGACGGGUAGCUGGUCCGAGAGGACGAUCAGCCGGAUUGGGACUGAGAUACGGCCCAG